GUGAGCCUUGAAGCCUGGGGUGUGGGCCUGGGCAGAGCUGGUGCAGGUGUAAAUCUUGGUGGUAGAAGCAAAUAUUCAAAUGAGAACUUUGAAGGCUGAAGUAGAAAAGGGUUCUAUGU
Molecule: ribosomal RNA, 119 nt
Filed under: Ailuropoda melanoleuca (giant panda)
Lineage: Eukaryota; Metazoa; Chordata; Mammalia; Carnivora; Ursidae
Description: similar to 28S ribosomal RNA
Rfam family: Eukaryotic large subunit ribosomal RNA
Source: RNAcentral